This 2452-nucleotide long non-coding RNA is filed under the name Homo sapiens (human). RNAcentral describes it as "non-protein coding lnc-SEPT9-3:11". Lineage: Eukaryota; Metazoa; Chordata; Mammalia; Primates; Hominidae. The record is from RNAcentral.
AGAACAAAGGCCUGGAGACUGGAGCGAGCUGCGUUCUUGGGGGUGGGGGGUGGGGCGGCAGCUGGAGAGUGGGGGCUUCCCCAGCGGGAGAGGGAGGACGAUUCUGGAUGGCUUCCCUCCUUGUGGACAGAGUGAGUCUCUGCUAUGAGAAAGGUGUUCUACAUACGGCUCGGGAGCCAGCAAGUGCGUAUGAAGCCCCUUCACAUGGCUAGUGGCAUCCUAAGGACCCGGCGACAAUUAGUCAUGGCGUCAUCGAACACCAGGCUGGAGGAGGUCUUGGAUGCCACAGCUCCUUUUGAAUUUCAAAGACGUUCAAAUCCCCAUCUGGCUGUUACACUUUUAGGCUAUUGAGAGUGAAAACAAGCACUGACAUGAACACCCAACCAGCUGCCGGUGACAUCGUCCCCUUCUGAGAUCUGAGGACAUGGAUACCCAACCACCUGCCGGUGACAUCGUCUCCUUCUGAGAUCUGAGGACAUGAACACCCAACCACCUGCCGGUGAUAUCGUCCCCUUCUGAGAUCUGAGGACGUGGAUAUCCAACCACCUGCCGGUGACAUUGUCUCCUUCUGAGAUCUGAGGACAUGGACACCAAACCACCUGCCGGUGACAUUGUCUCCUUCUGAGAUCUGAGGACAUGAACACCAAACCACCUGCCAGUGACAUCGUCCCCUUCUGAGAUCUGAGGACAUGGAUACCCAACCACCUGCCGGUGACAUCGUCUCCUUCUGAGAUCUGAGGACAUGGACACCCAACCACCUGCCGGUGACAUCGUCUCCUUCUGAGAUCUGAGGACAUGAACACCCAACCACCUGCCGGUGAUAUCGUCCCCUUCUGAGAUCUGAGGACGUGGAUAUCCAACCACCUGCCGGUGACAUUGUCUCCUUCUGAGAUCUGAGGACAUGGACACCAAACCACCUGCCGGUGACAUUGUCUCCUUCUGAGAUCUGAGGACAUGAACACCAAACCACCUGCCAGUGACAUCGUCCCCUUCUGAGAUCUGAGGACAUGGAUACCCAACCACCUGCCGGUGACAUCAUCUUCUUCUGAGAUCUGAGGACAUGGACACCCAACCACCUGCCGGUGACAUCGUCUCCUUCUGAGAUCUGAGGACAUGGACACCAAACCACCUGCCGGUGACAUCGUCUCCUUCUGAGAUCUGAGGACAUGAACACCCAACCACCUGCCGGUGAUAUCGUCCCCUUCUGAGAUCUGAGGACGUGGAUAUCCAACCACCUGCCGGUGACAUUGUCUCCUUCUGAGAUCUGAGGACAUGGACACCAAACCACCUGCUGGUGACAUUGUCUCCUUCUGAGAUCUGAGGACAUGAACACCAAACCACCUGCCAGUGACAUCGUCCCCUUCUGAGAUCUGAGGACAUGGAUACCCAACCACCUGCCGGUGACAUCAUCUUCUUCUGAGAUCUGAGGACAUGGACACCCAACCACCUGCCGGUGACAUCGUCUCCUUCUGAGAUCUGAGGACAUGGACACCAAACCACCUGCCGGUGACAUCGUCUCCUUCUGAGAUCUGAGGACAUGAACACCCAACCACCUGCCGGUGACAUCGUCCCCUUCUGAGAUCUGAGGACAUUGAUACCCAGCCACCUGCCGGUGACAUCGUCUCCUUCUGAGAUCUGAGGAUAUGGACACCAAACCACCUGCCGGUGACAUCGUCUCCUUCUGAGAUCUGAGGACAUGAACACCCAACCACCUGCCGGUGACAUCGUCCCCUUCUGAGAUCUGAGGACAUGGAUACCCAACCACCUGCCGGUGACAUCGUCUCCUUCUGAGAUCUGAGGACAUGGACACCCAACCUGCUGCUGGUGACAUCGUUCCCUUCUGAGAUCUGAGGACAUGGACACCAAACCACCUGCCAGUGACAUCGUCUCCUUCUGAGAUCUGAGGACAUGGACACCAAACCUGCUGCCGGUGACAUCGUCCCCUUCUGAGAUCUGAGGACAUGGACACCCAACCACCUGCCGGUGACAUCGUCUCCUUCUGAGGUCUGAGGACAGACACUCACAUGGACACCUAAACACCUGCCGAUGAUAUUGUCUCCUUCUGAAAUCUGAGGACAUGGACACCCAACCAGCUGCUGGUGACAUCAUCUCCUUCUGAGAUCUGAGGACAGACACUCACAUAGACGCCCAAUCAGCUGCUGGUGACAUUGUCUCCUUCUGAAAUCUGAGGGUUGGAACACAUUGGCCUGGCUCAGUGUUUCUCCAUGUGGUUUUGAGACCACCUGAGUUGGAACCGAUAUGGGUUCCCAGCCUCACGCCUGGAGAGCUGGAUUUUGCGAGUGUGAGGUUAGGUCCAGCAUCUGCAUGUGUAACGAGCUCCCAGGUGUUUCGUAGAUGCAUUAGGGCUUGAGAAGCUCCUUUCUAGCACCAUCUUCCUUUUUGCGCAUGAGGGAGUUCAGGUCCAGAGAAAUAAAGCAGCAAGGUUAGUGGC